Molecule: non-coding RNA, 104 nt
Organism: Acanthosepion pharaonis
Lineage: Eukaryota; Metazoa; Mollusca; Cephalopoda; Sepiida; Sepiidae
Source: the annotation of a GenBank genome assembly
UUGCGGCCAUACCAAGUUGAAACGCUGGUUCUUGUACGAUCACCGAAGUUAAGCAACGUCAAGCUUGGUCAGUAACGAGAUGGGUGACCGCUUGGAAACGCCGG